GCAAACUUGGUCAUUUAGAGGAAGUAAAAGUCGUAACAAGGUAACCGUAGGUGAACCUGCGGUUGGAUCAUUAAAAGAGGAUGAGGAAGAAAAAGAGAGCAAAAAGAGGGGGGUUGGUCGGUGCGUGCGACCAAUCUGGAGGCGAUCGCUGCUCUUGCUGCAUUUGGUGUCUCUGGCGGCAGAGGCGAGACCGAUCCGGCGACACUCGUCUGUCCCCCUCCCGUCCGCUGUCCCUUUCGGACGGAGGAAGGGAAUCCCUCUCUCUGCGUGUUUGGACUGCUGAACCCUUCCCCUCGAGGGGUUGUGAUGCGCAUUCGAUUUUUUGUUUGCGGUGGUCCGUCCAAACGGGUGGGCCGCCGGGAUCUUUGUAGUGAAUCGCCUGAGAAAAAUCAAAUGAAAUUAAAAAAAUGAAAACAACUUUUGACGACGGAUCUCUAGGCUCUCGCAUCGAUGAAGAACGCAGC
RNAcentral lists this unclassified non-coding RNA (464 nucleotides) under uncultured fungus. RNAcentral describes it as "partial contains small subunit ribosomal RNA, internal transcribed spacer 1, and 5.8S ribosomal RNA". The stretch from base 1 to 73 matches the Rfam family "Eukaryotic small subunit ribosomal RNA", at positions 1759 to 1831 of the family's 1831-position model. The record is from RNAcentral. Lineage: Eukaryota; Fungi.